This 293-nucleotide ribosomal RNA is filed under the name uncultured eukaryote. RNAcentral's name for it is "partial 18S ribosomal RNA". It matches the Rfam family "Eukaryotic small subunit ribosomal RNA", at positions 6 to 302 of the family's 1831-position model. The record is from RNAcentral.
GGUUGAUCCUGCCAGUAGUCAUAUGCUUGUCUCAAAGAUUAAGCCAUGCAUGUCUAAGUAUAAACCUUUAUACGGUGAAACUGCGAAUGGCUCAUUAAAUCAGUUAUAAUUUAUUUGAUAGUACCUUACUACUUGGAUAACCGUGGUAAUUCUAGAGCUAAUACAUGCAUUAAGACCCGACUUUUUGGAGGGUUGUAUUUAUUAGGUUAAAACCAAUAGCUAGCAAUAGCUUUCUGGUGAUUCAUAAUAACUUCUCGGAUCGUAUGACCUUGUGUCGACGACGUAUCAUUCAA